GAUGAACGCUGACAGAAUGCUUAACACAUGCAAGUCAACUUGAACUUCGGUUUGGGUGGCGGACGGGUGAGUAACGCGUAAAGAACUUACCUCACAGAUAGGGACAACAUUUGGAAACGAAUGCUAAUACCUAAUAUUAUGAUUUUAGGGCAUCCUAGGAUUAUGAAAGCUAUAUACGCUGUGAGAGAGCUUUGCGUCCCAUUAGCUAGUUGGAGAGGUAACGGCUCACCAAGGCGAUGAUGGGUAGCCGGCCUGAGAGGGUGAUCGGCCACAAGGGGACUGAGACACGGCCCUUACUCCUACGGGAGGCAGCAGUGGGGAAUAUUGGACAAUGGACCAAGAGUCUGAUCCAGCAAUUCUGUGUGCACGAUGAAGUUUUUCGGAAUGUAAAGUGCUUUCAGUUGGGAAGAAAAAAAUGACGGUACCAACAGAAGAAGUGACGGCUAAAUACGUGCCAGCAGCCGCGGUAAUACGUAUGUCACAAGCGUUAUCCGGAUUUAUUGGGCGUAAAGCGCGUCUAGGUGGUUAUAUAAGUCUGAUGUGAAAAUGCAGGGCUCAACUCUGUAUUGCGUUGGAAACUGUGUAACUAGAGUACUGGAGAGGUAAGCGGAACUACAAGUGUAGAGGUGAAAUUCGUAGAUAUUUGUAGGAAUGCCGAUGGGGAAGCCAGCUUACUGGACAGAUACUGACGCUGAAGCGCGAAAGCGUGGGUAGCAAACAGG
This 722-nucleotide ribosomal RNA is filed under the name uncultured Fusobacterium sp. Its description in RNAcentral is "bacterial SSU rRNA". It matches the Rfam family "Bacterial small subunit ribosomal RNA", at positions 28 to 776 of the family's 1533-position model. The record is from RNAcentral. Lineage: Bacteria; Fusobacteriati; Fusobacteriota; Fusobacteriia; Fusobacteriales; Fusobacteriaceae.